RNAcentral lists this ribosomal RNA (1254 nucleotides) under Bacillus sp. B-2-17. RNAcentral's name for it is "bacterial SSU rRNA". It matches the Rfam family "Bacterial small subunit ribosomal RNA", at positions 87 to 1326 of the family's 1533-position model. The record is from RNAcentral. Lineage: Bacteria; Bacillati; Bacillota; Bacilli; Caryophanales; Bacillaceae.
GGAUGUUAGCGGCGGACGGGUGAGUAACACGUGGGUAACCUGCCUGUAAGACUGGGAUAACUCCGGGAAACCGGAGCUAAUACCGGAUAGUUCCUUGAACCGCAUGGUUCAAGGAUGAAAGACGGUUUCGGCUGUCACUUACAGAUGGACCCGCGGCGCAUUAGCUAGUUGGUGGGGUAAUGGCUCACCAAGGCGACGAUGCGUAGCCGACCUGAGAGGGUGAUCGGCCACACUGGGACUGAGACACGGCCCAGACUCCUACGGGAGGCAGCAGUAGGGAAUCUUCCGCAAUGGACGAAAGUCUGACGGAGCAACGCCGCGUGAGUGAUGAAGGUUUUCGGAUCGUAAAGCUCUGUUGUUAGGGAAGAACAAGUGCGAGAGUAACUGCUCGCACCUUGACGGUACCUAACCAGAAAGCCACGGCUAACUACGUGCCAGCAGCCGCGGUAAUACGUAGGUGGCAAGCGUUGUCCGGAAUUAUUGGGCGUAAAGGGCUCGCAGGCGGUUUCUUAAGUCUGAUGUGAAAGCCCCCGGCUCAACCGGGGAGGGUCAUUGGAAACUGGGAAACUUGAGUGCAGAAGAGGAGAGUGGAAUUCCACGUGUAGCGGUGAAAUGCGUAGAGAUGUGGAGGAACACCAGUGGCGAAGGCGACUCUCUGGUCUGUAACUGACGCUGAGGAGCGAAAGCGUGGGGAGCGAACAGGAUUAGAUACCCUGGUAGUCCACGCCGUAAACGAUGAGUGCUAAGUGUUAGGGGGUUUCCGCCCCUUAGUGCUGCAGCUAACGCAUUAAGUCACUCCGCCUGGGGAGUACGGUCGCAAGUACUGAAACUCAAAGGAAUUGACGGGGGCCCGCACAAGCGGUGGAGCAUGUGGUUUAAUUCGAAGCAACGCGAAGAACCUUACCAGGUCUUGACAUCCUCUGACAACCCUAGAGAUAGGGCUUUCCCUUCGGGGACAGAGUGACAGGUGGUGCAUGGUUGUCGUCAGCUCGUGUCGUGAGAUGUUGGGUUAAGUCCCGCAACGAGCGCAACCCUUGAUCUUAGUUGCCAGCAUUUAGUUGGGCACUCUAAGGUGACUGCCGGUGACAAACCGGAGGAAGGUGGGGAUGACGUCAAAUCAUCAUGCCCCUUAUGACCUGGGCUACACACGUGCUACAAUGGACAGAACAAAGGGCUGCGAGACCGCAAGGUUUANCCAAUCCCAUAAAUCUGUUCUCAGUUCGGAUCGCAGUCUGCAACUCGACUGCGUGAAGC